AUCCUUAGUCUGGCCUUGAGAAGGCGAAUGGUUAGGUAUGGAUAUGGGUAGAAAAAUCGGUUCUUAUCAGUUUAAUAUCUGAUACGUUCUCUAUAUUAAUCAGAUUUUUAGAGCUGAGACCCGGAAAAGGGGCUUGCUACAUCCGCUCUGCGGAUUGGCCUGGUAUUGCAGUACUUCCAGGCUUGGUGCACCAUUU
Molecule: small nuclear RNA, 196 nt
Organism: Hemibagrus wyckioides
Lineage: Eukaryota; Metazoa; Chordata; Actinopteri; Siluriformes; Bagridae
Product: U2 spliceosomal RNA
Exons: 1
Source: RefSeq, a predicted model, not a curated record